UACGUAGGGGGCUAGCGUUGUCCGGAAUCAUUGGGCGUAAAGCGCGUGUAGGCGGUUCGGUAAGUCCGCUGUGAAAGUCGGGGGCUCAACCCUCGAAUGCCGGUGGAUACUGUCGGACUAGAGUACGGAAGAGGCGAGUGGAAUUCCUGGUGUAGCGGUGAAAUGCGCAGAUAUCAGGAGGAACACCAAUGGCGAAGGCAGCUCGCUGGGACGGUACUGACGCUGAGGCGCGAAAGCGUGGGAGCAAACAGG
Molecule: ribosomal RNA, 252 nt
Filed under: uncultured bacterium
Lineage: Bacteria
Description: partial 16S ribosomal RNA
Rfam family: Bacterial small subunit ribosomal RNA
Source: RNAcentral